RNAcentral lists this ribosomal RNA (492 nucleotides) under uncultured bacterium. RNAcentral describes it as "partial 16S ribosomal RNA". It matches the Rfam family "Bacterial small subunit ribosomal RNA", at positions 29 to 507 of the family's 1533-position model. The record is from RNAcentral.
AGUGAACGCUGGCGGUAGGCCUAACACAUGCAAGUCGAACGGCAGCACAGUAAGAGCUUGCUCUUACGGGUGGCGAGUGGCGGACGGGUGAGGAAUACAUCGGAAUCUACUUUUUCGUGGGGGAUAACGUAGGGAAACUUACUCUAAUACCGCAUACGACCUACGGGUGAAAGCAGGGGAUCUUCGGACCUUGCGCGAUUGAAUGAGCCGAUGUCGGAUUAGCUAGUUGGCGGGGUAAAGGCCCACCAAGGCGACGAUCCGUAGCUGGUCUGAGAGGAUGAUCAGCCACACUGGAACUGGGACGCGGUCCAGACUCCUACGGGAGGCAGCAGUGGGGAAUAUUGGACAAUGGGCGCAAGCCUGAUCCAGCCAUACCGCGUGGGUGAAGAAGGCCUUCGGGUUGUAAAGCCCUUUUGUUGGGAAAGAAAAGCAGCAGGUUAAUACCCCGCUGUUCUGACGGUACCCAAAGAAUAAGCACCGGCUAACUUCGUG